UACGUAGGGUGCGAGCGUUAAUCGGAAUUACUGGGCGUAAAGCGUGCGCAGGCGGUUUGUUAAGUCAGAUGUGAAAGCCCCGGGCUCAACCUGGGAACUGCGUUUGAAACUGGCAAGCUAGAGUUUGGGAGAGGGAGGUAGAAUUCCACGUGUAGCAGUGAAAUGCGUAGAUAUGUGGAGGAACACCGAUGGCGAAGGCAGCCUCCUGGCCUAAAACUGACGCUCAUGCACGAAAGCGUGGGGAGCAAACAGG
RNAcentral lists this ribosomal RNA (253 nucleotides) under uncultured bacterium. RNAcentral's name for it is "partial 16S ribosomal RNA". It matches the Rfam family "Bacterial small subunit ribosomal RNA", at positions 524 to 776 of the family's 1533-position model. The record is from RNAcentral.